Molecule: long non-coding RNA, 3188 nt
Organism: Nelumbo nucifera (sacred lotus)
Lineage: Eukaryota; Viridiplantae; Streptophyta; Magnoliopsida; Proteales; Nelumbonaceae
Source: RefSeq, a predicted model, not a curated record
CCCUACAGAUUUGAUUCAAGGCCAAAAUCGAAUCCUAACUCUGAAAUUCAAAGCAACCUUCGAAGGCUCAUAGCUCUGAAAAACUUGUUCGUUCUUUUUCUCCUUUCUCUUCUCCCUCUCCCUCUCUAUCCUUCUCUGCCGUCGUUUCUUCUCAUCUUCUCAUUGGUGCAUCAGUAGAGUUACAGCGAUGAAGGUCCUUCUGGUUAUCACUCCAUUUCAAGUCGGCAGUAGUUUCGAAUUCUCAUCGUUAUCAUCUGUUGAAGCUCAGUCAUCAUCGUCGUCCAAGACGAACUGACAGAAACCAAAGAAGCCUCCCCUGUUGCAUUGACAGACCUCAGGCAAAAAUUCCGAACCAGGAUGAACGAACCUAGCAAUGAAAAUGCAAGCAAUUCCAAAGAUGUCAAUGAAACAUCUAUGGCGUCAAGUUCUAGUCGAAGGAGGACUAGAUCUAAAGCUUGGGAACACUUCAAAAAAAUAAGAUUGGAUUUUGGGGAGGAGAAAGCUAUUUGUAUAUAUUGUGGAAAACAAUAUAUGGGUGGAAGUAGUAAAGGGACAAGCCACUUGUUGAGUCAUCUACCAAGAUGACCUAAAAUGAAGGAAAUGUGCACUAGUAAACAACAAGCUGAAGUGGAGUUUAAAUUUGACCAAGAUAGGAGAGAAAUGGAUUCAGCGGAGAUGAUAAUGAAGCAUGAGCAUCCAUUUAGCAUAGUCGAAGAAGAAUUUUUUCAGAUAUUUGUCAAUAAUCUUCAGCCAUCAUUUAGGUUUGUUUCUAGAAAUACAAUAAAGAAUGAUGUCAUGAAGAUUUACAUGGAUGAAAAGGUGAGGUUGUACAAGUACUUUGAUAAUUUGGUUGUCGGAUUAGCUUAACUACUAAUAUGUGGACUUCAGAACAGAAUUUGAGGUGUUGUUGUUUAACAUCACAUUUUAUAGAUGAUGGGUGGGAGCUGAAGAAGAAAGUUAUUGCAUUUAUGACUGUUGAGUGUCCCCAUGAUGGAAACACUCUAUAUGAAGUUGUUAUGGAGAGGUUGUUGACUUGGAACAUUGACAAAAAAAUAUGUUCUAUAAUAGUUGACAAUGCCUCUAACAACGAUGUUAUGGUUAGGGAGCUUAGGAACCGGCUCUGUGUUAAAUGUUCGCUUCUAUUGAAUGGUGACCUAUUUCAUGUGAGAUGUGCUGCUCACAUCUUGAACUUUAUUGUGCAAGAUGAGUUGAGAGAAAUGUUACCAUUGUUGCAUAAGAUUCGAGAAAGUGCUAAAUAUGUAAGACUGACACCCCAUAAGAAGCAAAAAUUUGACAAUGCAAGAAGCCAAGCAAAAGUAUAGCAUAAGAGAGGGAUGGUUGUUGAUUGUCCAACGCGAUGGAACUCUACAUAUGAUAUGUUGGACAUAGCUUUAGAGUUGAAGGAAGCAUUUUGUCGACUAGCCGAGCUUGACCGUGACUAUAAGUAUCUACCGUUUGAUGAGGAAUGGGAGAUGGGGGCAGUGUUACGAGAUUGUUUGCAAGUUUCUUACAUUUGCACAAAAAACUUUUCAAGUACUACUUCCCCAACCUCAAAUGUAUAUUUUCCUGAUAUUUGCACAAUCAAGUUUCUGUUGCUUCAGUGGCUAGAUAGUGAACAUGAGUAUGUUCGUUCAAUGGCAAAUAGAAUGAAGCAAAAAUAUGAUAAAUAUUGGGAUGAAUGUUCUUUGGUGUUUGCGAUUGCCGUUGUACUUGAUCCUAAGUUCAAGAUGGAGAUUGUAACGUAUUACUACAAUCUCAUUUACGGAGAGACUGCUGAGAAACAUGUUACAAGAGUUAGAGAAGCAAUGCAUGACCUAUAUUCAGAGUAUGUGGGUUUUGAUACAGAGGAUAGGUCACUUGUAUGCUCUAGUAUUGCAUCUCAACCAUUGAUGAUUCGUGGUGUUUUAGAUAUUUUGAGCGGUUUUGAUCGGUGGUUGAUUGUAGAGCGUCCGAAAUGUUGUCUAGGGACUCAAAAGUUAGAGUUGGAUCUUUAUCUUGAAGAAAAACUAUUUCCUAGAGGUGAAGAGUUUGAUAUUUUGAGAUUCUGGCGAGUUGAUGGUCUGAAGUUUCCGAAGCUCUCUAGAUUGGCACACAAUAUUUUGGCAUUUCCAGUACCAACUGUAUCAUAUGAGGGAACAUUCAGUACUGGGGGUAGAAUAGUGGAUUAGUAUCGUACUUCAUUACUUCCAGAAACAGUGGAGGCUCUACUUUGUGGGCAAGAUUGGUUAGAAGCUCCAACAACAAAAAAAUUGGAUCUUGAAGCCAUUGCUACCUCUCUUGUAUGUGUGGCUUCUACAACUGACACUAACCGAACAUAUUUCGUUUGAAAGACAACCUUGUUUGUCUCAACAGUAUCAAGGCACCUUCUUGGAUCAGAGCAUUCAUUGUUUGUGUUCUGUUUGUACAUCAAAUUCCUUUGAGCACUACAAGAAAAAUGAUCAAAGCUGGCGGUUUAUAGAUGGUGGUCUUUUAAGACCGCCACUACAACGAGAUUUGAAGUGGGGGUCUUUCUCUUGAAAAACCUAAAUAAAAUAAAAAAUUUUAAAAGUGGCGGUCUUUGCGAAAUGAUACGACGGUUUUAAUCUUUUAACUGGUCUAACCAAAAAACCUCUUCAAACUCUCGCAUUCUCUGCUAUUUGAUUUUGACGGAGAGCUCCAAAACUAGUUUAACCAAAGGUUUGCUUGGUUUUGUUGACCCUGGAAACCCUACAUUUGCAGUCGAGGAUAAAUCCCGUGAACAUGGCGAUCAAAUCUUACCGGCCAAGUUUAUUUGCUAAGUUUGCAGAGGUGAAAUAAUGGAGAUCUCAUCAUGAAUGUUGGAAGAUGUGCUUCCCCUCUUCAUAGCUGAUACAAAGUUAGAAUCUUGCUUCUGAUUGAUAGUUCAGAUCUGCGGUGAUGUUUGAGAUUUCAAAGCUGACAAAGCUAUACCUAUAGAAGAAGCUUUGCUAGGGCUUGACGCCUCCAGAGUCCAGAGAUUCAACAAACUGCUGAUACAUUUCACCGACGAUAUUCUCUUAACUCUGAUGAUAACACAAUCUCCCUUGUAAAUGUAUUUCUUGUGGCUUGAUUGGUGUUAGAUGUUCAAUGCAUAAUUACCACAGUAUAGACUGUCAAAAUGGAUCCUUAAAACACCUUCUCCACUUACAGCUCUCCAUUAAUUGAUGAUAUUGCAGAGGAUGAAUUAGUUA